GGACAGGUGGCCGAGUGGCUGAAGGCGCACGCUUGGAAAGCGUGUUUAGGUGCAAGCCUAACGAGGGUUCGAAUCCCUCUCUGUCCG
This 87-nucleotide transfer RNA is filed under the name Candidatus Viadribacter manganicus. RNAcentral's name for it is "Caulobacteraceae bacterium OTSz_A_272 tRNA". It matches the Rfam family "tRNA". From Rfam's summary of the family: Transfer RNA (tRNA) molecules are approximately 80 nucleotides in length. Lineage: Bacteria; Pseudomonadati; Pseudomonadota; Alphaproteobacteria; Hyphomonadales; Hyphomonadaceae. The record is from Rfam by way of RNAcentral.